This 465-nucleotide ribosomal RNA is filed under the name uncultured bacterium. RNAcentral describes it as "partial 16S ribosomal RNA". It matches the Rfam family "Bacterial small subunit ribosomal RNA", at positions 28 to 507 of the family's 1533-position model. The record is from RNAcentral.
GACGAACGCUGGCGGCGUGCUUAACACAUGCAAGUCGAACGGAAAGGCCCUGCUUGCAGGGUACUCGAGUGGCGAACGUGUGAGUAACACGUGGGUGAUCUGCCCUGCACUUCGGGAUAAGCCUGGGAAACUGGGUCUAAUACCGGAUAUGACCUUCCAUGUAGUGUGGGGGGUGGAAAGAUUUAUCGGUGUGGGAUGAGCCCGCGGCCUAUCAGCUUGUUGGUGGGGUAAUGGCCUACCAAGGCGUCGACGGGUAGCCGGCCUGAGAGGGUGGACGGCCACAUUGGGACUGAGAUACGGCCCAGACUCCUACGGGAGGCAGCAGUGGGGAAUAUUGCACAAUGGGCGGAAGCCUGAUGCAGCGACGCCGCGUGGGGGAUGACGGCCUUCGGGUUGUAAACCUCUUUCGACAGGGACGAAGCUUCGGUGACGGUACCUGUAUAAGAAGCACCGGCUAACUACGUG